UCCCUAACCAACUGUCAAAAGUCAUUAUAAAAUUAAAUUAAUAUGAUGUUGACUUUAUAUACAAAUCGGAAUUGUUAAAACUUGUGAAUAUUUCUGAUGUAACACUUUGCGCGUGUAGCCACGGUUUGUUAAACAUCCCGGCGAAUCCCUCAUUUCAAUCAAAAUUACAUCGUGCUAGUGAUAAUGCUCGUUCUUUUGUCCGCCUGCUUUUACCUUACAUUUGGGUUCUUAGUUGUGUACUUAAUAUGCCUGUUUAUUGUGAUAUGCCUGUCUAUUUUCUUUGGCUAUAACCCGCUUGAUGACUAGGAAACCGAUCGUUUGCAAGUGAAAUAUGCAGGAGUAGGCAGUAAAAAUUACAGAUUGAAAAUAUUGGAAAAUCACAAUGCAAGUCAAGUAAAUCCCCAGAAAAUUGCGUUUCGCGAGGAACAACCCCGAAAAAAUCUCAGACAGGCGGUUUCUAUUGUGUGACCAGGACGCACCCGUGGCCUUUCUGUUUGCAGACCCCG
Molecule: long non-coding RNA, 506 nt
Organism: Drosophila biarmipes
Lineage: Eukaryota; Metazoa; Arthropoda; Insecta; Diptera; Drosophilidae
Exons: 3
Source: RefSeq, a predicted model, not a curated record